AUACGUAGGGGGCGAGCGUUAUCCGGAACUAUUGGGCGUAAAGAGUACGUAGGUGGUUUCCUAAGCGAGGGGUUUAAGGCACUGGCUUAACCAAUGUUCGCCCCCCGAACUGGGGAACUUGAGUGCUGGAGAGGAAAGCGGAAUUCCUAGUGUAGCGGUGAAAUGCGUAGAUAUUAGGAGGAACACCCGUGGCGAAGGCGGCUUUCUGGACAGUAACUGACACUGAGGUACGAAAGUGUGGGGAGCAAACAGGAUUAGAUACCCUGGUAGUCCACACCGUAAACGAUGAGCACUAGGUGUCGGGCUCGCAAGAGUUCGGUGCCGCAGUUAACGCAUUAAGUGCUCCGCCUGGGGAGUACGUACGCAAGUAUGAAACUCAAAUGAAUUGACGGGG
RNAcentral lists this ribosomal RNA (394 nucleotides) under uncultured bacterium. RNAcentral's name for it is "partial 16S ribosomal RNA". It matches the Rfam family "Bacterial small subunit ribosomal RNA", at positions 523 to 918 of the family's 1533-position model. The record is from RNAcentral.